RNAcentral lists this ribosomal RNA (253 nucleotides) under uncultured bacterium. Its description in RNAcentral is "partial 16S ribosomal RNA". It matches the Rfam family "Bacterial small subunit ribosomal RNA", at positions 524 to 776 of the family's 1533-position model. The record is from RNAcentral.
UACGAAGGGGGCUAGCGUUGUUCGGAAUUACUGGGCGUAAAGCGCGCGCAGGCGGCUAUCCAAGUCAGUGGUGAAAGCCCGGAGCUCAACUCCGGAACUGCCAUUGAAACUGUUUAGCUUGAGGACGAGAGAGGUGAGUGGAAUUCCCAGUGUAGAGGUGAAAUUCGUAGAUAUUGGGAAGAACACCAGUGGCGAAGGCGGCUAACUGGACCAUUCUUGACGCUGAGGAACGAAAGCGUGGGGAGCAAACAGG